Molecule: transfer RNA, 68 nt
Filed under: Gyna capucina
Lineage: Eukaryota; Metazoa; Arthropoda; Insecta; Blattodea; Blaberidae
Description: tRNA-Ser
Source: RNAcentral
AGUUAAAAACUUAGAAAGUAAUAUGUUUUGAAAGCAUAAUAAAAGGGGUUUAAGUCCCCUAUUAACUU